GAGUAACAGUGAGGCGACGGUGGAGUAACAGUGAGGCGACGGUGGAGUAACAGUGAUGUCAAGGUGAAGUAACAGUGAGGUCACGGUGAAGUAACAGUGAGGUCACAAUGAGAUCAUGGUGAAGUAACAGUGAGGUCACGGUGAAGUAACAGUGAUGUCAAGGUGAAGUAACAGUGAUGUCAAGGUGGAGUAACAGUGAGGUGACGGUGGAGUAACAGUGAUGUCAAGGUGGAGUAACAGUGAGGUGACGGUGGAGUAACAGUGAGGUCAUGGUGAAGUCACGGUGCAGUAACAUUGAUGUCAAGGUGGAGUAACAGUGAUGUCAAGGUGGAGUAACAGUGAGGUGACGGUGGAGUAACAGUGAGGUCACAAUGAGAUCACGGUGAAGUAACAGUGAUGUCGCAAUGAGGUCACGGUGAAGUAACCGUGAGGUCAAGGUGAACUAACCGUGAGGUCAUGGUGGAGUAACAGUGAGGUCAAGGUGGAGUAACAGUGAGGUGACGGUGGAGUAACAGUGAGGAGGUGACGGUGAGGUGACGGUGGAGUAACGGUGAGGUCACGGUGGAGUAACGGUGAGGUCACGGGGGAGUAACGGUGAGGGGGAGGCAUUACUCACGGGGGAGUAACAGUGAGGUGACGGUGGGGUGACAGUGAGGUGACGGUGGAGUAACGGUGAGGUGACGGUGGAGUAACGGUGAGGUCACGGUGAAGUAACGGUGAGGUCACGGUGGAGUAACGGUGAGGUCACGGUGGAGUAACGGUGAGUUCAAGGGGGAGUAACGGUGAGGUCACGGGGGAGUAACGGUGGGGUGAGGGGGGAGUAACGGUGGGGUCA
Sinocyclocheilus anshuiensis is the source of this 835-nucleotide long non-coding RNA. RefSeq lists it as uncharacterized. The transcript has 3 exons. The record is from RefSeq and is a predicted model, not a curated record. NCBI's taxonomy places the organism in Eukaryota, Metazoa, Chordata, Actinopteri, Cypriniformes, Cyprinidae.